This 517-nucleotide ribosomal RNA is filed under the name uncultured bacterium. Its description in RNAcentral is "bacterial SSU rRNA". It matches the Rfam family "Bacterial small subunit ribosomal RNA", at positions 28 to 527 of the family's 1533-position model. The record is from RNAcentral.
GACGAACGCUGGCGGCGUGCCUAACACAUGCAAGUCGAACGGAGAUACUUUUGAAGCUUGCGAUAAAGUAUCUUAGUGGCGGACGGGUGAGUAACGCGUGGGUAAUCUGCCCAUAAGUGGGGAACAACAGUUGGAAACGACUGCUAAUACCGCAUAAUCUGCCUUAGGGUAGGAAAGGUGGCCUCUUAACAAUGCUGCCGCUUAUGGAUGAGCCCGCGUCUGAUUAGCUAGUUGGUGGGUAAAGGCCUACCAAGGCGACGAUCAGUAGCCGGCCUGAGAGGGUGAACGGCCACACUGGGACUGAGACACGGCCCAGACUCCUACGGGAGGCAGCAGUGGGGAAUAUUGCGCAAUGGGGGAAACCCUGACGCAGCGACGCCGCGUGAGCGAAGAAGGCCUUAGGGUUGUAAAGCUCUGUUUUAGGGACGAAUGUCGUGGGGAGUAAUAUGACCUACGAAUGACGGUACCCUAAGAGGAAGCCCCGGCUAACUACGUGCCAGCAGCCGCGGUAAACACG